GACAUUUGACCUGCAUUGUUGAUCUAAGUCAUAGAAUAUUAUUAUUGUCACAGGUGCUGGGUAUUAACCCUUUUAUGUUUACUUGUAAAAUUGCUUUGAUUUGUUGUACGGAUAUGGAUUCAAGCAUAUAAGACAAAAGGAUGUCUUUCGGGAAAGCAAGUGUCAUCUGACAGAUGUUAUGUUAUUGCUCAAAUGGUAACUGGAUUCACUUACAGAAAAAGGAGUCCCGACUUUUUUUGGGUGGGUUGUAAACAGUUUGUAGGUGAACACCAACAACUUAAGGAACUAUUUUACACGACAUAGUAUCUAUUUUGCCUAUCAAGUGGCUCAGUAAGAUGAGCCUUUACUUCGAUUAUAUUAGUAAGGCGCUAACAAGCCCCUGCAAUCUUUCAGAUGCAUGAAUGAGUGUAGUUGGAAAUGAGGGGACAGGAUGAUGGUAGAAUCAUGGAAAGAGGGUGGAUAUACU
Molecule: long non-coding RNA, 466 nt
Organism: Carya illinoinensis
Lineage: Eukaryota; Viridiplantae; Streptophyta; Magnoliopsida; Fagales; Juglandaceae
Exons: 2
Source: RefSeq, a predicted model, not a curated record